Molecule: ribosomal RNA, 346 nt
Filed under: uncultured soil bacterium
Lineage: Bacteria
Description: bacterial SSU rRNA
Rfam family: Bacterial small subunit ribosomal RNA
Source: RNAcentral
AGAUUGAACGCUGGCGGCAUGCCUAACACAUGCAAGUCGAACGGGAGUAGCAAUACUCUAGUGGCGGACGGGUGAGGAAUACGUAGGAAUUUGCCCUUAAGUGGGGGAUAACCCGGGGAACCCGGAUUAAUACCGCAUGACCUCGAAAGAGCAAAGUGGGGGAUCGCAAGACCUCACGCUUUUGGAGAAGCCUACGUCGGAUUAGCUAGUUGGUGAGGUAAUGGCUCACCAAGGCGACGAUCCGUAACUGGUCUGAGAGGAUGAUCAGUCACACCGGAACUGAGACACGGUCCGGACUCCUACGGGAGCAGCAGUGGGGAAUAUUGGACAAUGGGCGACAAGCCUG